Molecule: long non-coding RNA, 5785 nt
Filed under: Marmota monax (woodchuck)
Lineage: Eukaryota; Metazoa; Chordata; Mammalia; Rodentia; Sciuridae
Source: RNAcentral
AUAUAGAGAGUUCAUGGGAGAAACUUAGGCAACUGAGCAAGUAACUUGGAACAGAUAUGUUUUUCUCAAAAUUUUGGAAAAUGGAAACUAAAGUCAGAAAAGGUCUGAUGUGGCUGGAUGCUUGCUCAGUUCUCUCUCUGUACCUUUCAGGAAUAAUGUGACCAGCAGGGGAGUUUAAAAUCUUUGUAGAGAAAUCACAAAUCAAAGGAAUGGACAGUGCAUGAAAGGAGUUUCUUUUUUCUUUUAAUGAGUGAGAAGAUCUGGCUAGGACCGUGAACUCUUCACGCUUGCUGCGCGGGAUGUUAGGCCAAAAGGUUUACUAGGCAAAACUGAACUCAUUGCAUCUCAUCUCCAUGGAUUAAAAAAAAAAAAAGUAUUUCUGGAGCUCUGUUAGGUGAGAAUGGUGUAAAAAUGGUAAGCACUUUUAAAAAGAUCUGCUCUUACUUGUAUUUAUCUAUCUUCAUAGUGCUGAGUAGCUGAGUUCGGAAUUAGAUUGCAUUUCACAAACCUUUAAAUAUUGGACGUUCAUUGAAUGAAAAUGAUCAAAUUUACUCUCUGAUCUUCCUGCUGCACUUUCCAUUUAAACAUACGUGCCUAAAAAUGAGCAAUGUAUUGGUGAUGCUGCUUUCACAGUGCACAACGGUUGGGAAGGAUGGUGAUGAACUCAGAGAAUACAUUGCAAGGGGUGUCCUGAAAGGAAAACGCGAAAUGUAAGCAAAAUUUCAAGCAAGUAGCAGCUGUUUCCUCUCCUUCAACAGGAGAGGGAAAUAGUUCUGAAAUAUAGGCAGAAUCCUGGCAUGUUGUGGAGUCGUGGUCUGAAGGAAAAAAUGAAGUCCACAUUUGAAUAGUUGGAGUUUUGUUAAUUGGGGUAGGUUGGGGAAGGUGUGUCACAGGGAGGUUAAUAGGAUAAGCCAAGCCUUGAAAUGGACCAGCUUGUGAUAGGCUCUAUCUUAGAGUGUUGAUGUGACUAAAGUGCUGUACAUCUUAGCAUGCAGCCCGUGCUCAAUAAAGUGUACCUCUGUUACUAAGUCAGCUUUACACGAAAGCAGAUAAGAAUUAAUCUGAUUAUUAGCUGCUCCUGUCUCCUCCCCUCAGUGUUUCAUUUUAUAGUGUAUAACAUCUUAAAUUUUAAUUCCCUCACAUAUCUCAAAGUCUUUUUAAUCUUCCAAAAAUGAAUUUGUAAAUGCAAAUACUCUAGAUAUCUUCUUAUCAUUUCGGCUGGUCUGAACAGAGCCAGUUCAAUUUUUUAAUAUACAUUUUGCAAAUUUUCAAAAUAUCCAUUUCAUUCAUCAUUGUAAGCAACAUCAUAUGCUUUGUUGUUUUAAAAAUAGAGACACCAUAAACAAAUAAGAUUGAAGACUCACGGUGUACAUCAGCAGCUAAAAGGCCUGGAACUCUCCUACAGAAAAGAAACUGUUGUCUAACUUUAGAAUUUCCCAAUUUGAUCAGAACCCAUUUUUGUUAGCAGCAUCUAUUCAUGUGCCAUGGCUACAUUUCAGCUUAAGACUACAUACUAGUAGGAAGAAUUAUUUCUGAACUUAAUAGUUAACUGAGAAAGAUUCUUUAGGAAUAGGACAUAGAUUAGACAUUUGUAACAAGGGAAUCAGAGAGUGGAUACUGAAAUGGGAGACAGGAGGAUGGCAGUUUGGUUUUUCCUACCUCAAAAGGGCGAAGAAUAGAAGUCACGUGACCAGUGGUCUGCCUCUGGCUUAUCCACAUACCAGCCAUUGACCUGUGCUUACCUUUAACCAGAUAGCCUGUGUGGUCCCCAGUUUUUACCUGGGUCAAAUAGGGUAGGGGAGGCAAGGAAUUUCUAGGGUUUCAUCUAGAUCAUCCUUGUCUUAAUUAUUUUGUUUUGAAAAAUGCAUAAUAUUUUUUACUUUGGUGUAGGUGAUAGCAGCGUAAGUUUAUUAUUUUAAACUUUAGAGUUCCCCCCCCCUUCAAAGUCUCUAGGAUAGGUCGAUAAAGAUUCUUGACAUCAAGAGUUUAGAUUUUUUUUUUUUGCAGUUUGAAGAAUGUUAGUUUUUAUAAUUCAAGAUCUUGAUCUAGUUCUAUUUUAUUGAAGCAAAAACCAAAUAAAUAUUUUCUUUUCAAAAUAAUGGGAGUUAUUUUGGAUGGAAAGAUCAACCCAUGAUUCCAUUGCCUCAUCUUUAUGUCCACUCGGCUUACUGGCCCACAAACCAAAUCUUCACACAAUGGAAGAAUUAGAAGAUACCUCAUGCUCAGUGGCUCACUGGAAUUACUCCAUAAACCAGCAAUUGUACUUCACUAAUGCGUUCGCUGUUGACUCAGGUUAUCCUGAUCUUGGGGAGGGACUGUGGUGUUUUCACACAAGCAGCCCUGCAGGUCAUGUGGUUAGCUUUUGUGGUGAGAUGAGCUGUAACAGAUUUAGAAGCUUUAUGGAUUUAAUGGCCAUAGUGUGGGCUGGUUGGCAAAGACUGAGGACAAAAAGAGAGAUCUAGGGGACAUUCCUACCCUUUGAAUAGGAGGUAUGCAUAUCACUGGAUUUUUUAAAGUAGCAGGUGAUCAUGAAUCACUGUUUUUAAACUUGCUCACUUUUGUGUUAUAUAAGGGAGAUAUAUAAAUACAUAGAUGUGUCACAAAAUAAUUAUUCAUUAUAGCAAUUCCAAUGAUACCAGUUUGCACAUAAAAUAUACCAAUACUGUUUGUAGCCAGAUGAAUACUGGUACAAUAAUUACUUUUCCAUCCAACAACUUGUUUGGUUUUGGGUUUUUCCUUCUUUUAAUUUUUGGGGGUGGGGGGGGCAGGGGAAGGAAACUUUCUGUGAAACCAAAGUCUUGCUGCUGCUGCUUUUUUUUGAUUGUUUGUGUUUGUUACCAAGGAUUGAACCCAGGAAUACUUAACCGCUAAGCAACCAUAUCCCCAGAUUUAUUUAUUCAAGACCAUUUCAGUCUAUUUUUUUAUAUUCUGUGAUUGGACAUGGAGUUUUUCUGAAUAUAACUCCUUUGAGAUCUAAUAUUUUUUGCAUUUAAAAUUACAUAUGGUAUCAUCUCAAUUGUCUGAAGAAACAGCUAACAUUUUCUUGCAACUCUAGUAGGAGCCUUAUUUUUAGUAGCCCUGAAAUCUGAGGCGUUGCAUGUUGCUAGACACAGGCCAGAUUUAGGGCUAACUAACGUCUCGCUCUUCUGGAAAGUUUCAUCUUUAAAUCAUUUUUUGAGAUAAAGUUUCAGCAAUAGGGUUAAAAUUCUCAGAGAAUAACAGAACGGAAAAGGAGCAACACCAACUUCAAACCACCACCAUUCAUGCUGAUAAACACCAAUAUUCUCCCAGAAAUUCUCACAAACGAUUUCAUAGAGUCAGGCCUUGAUCCAUCACCAUUCCAGGAAAAAACAAAUACCUACGCGGAAUGUGCAAUAAGUCUGGGGCUUAAUGCCAACUCCUAAGAUAGAGCUUGCGUUAGGGAAGCUCAAGUGUGAAAAGACAAUGAGGAGUUCCUUCCGUUUGGCAGGACAAAUCGGUUUUAGAGUAAAUCCAGGCAGGAGGAAGAGAAAACAAGCCUCCUGACCCUGACUGAACUUCCUCGUGCGAUGCUCCCAGGAGCUCAGCAGAACCCACGGGCUGGUUCUCAGUAACAGAGCCAAGGACGGAGGAGGCAGCUCUAGGGCUUGGUGGGAGGACCCCGGGUACACGCCCACGCUGGCAAGGUGGAGAGCGGGAAGAUGAUACGUGCUCCAGAGCAUCCAGUGCCCCUCUACGCUUCUUCCUCUCUUACAUAACGUCCUAACUACGCUUCAACAAGAGCACAAAUAGCACUUUAUUUAGCCAUGAACUAUCCACUUCUUGGAUACUCUCUGCACUGGCAGCAUACAGUGAUAGUUAGUUGGUGCAUUUUUACUACAUCUGUGAUGCAGAUAGGAGGUUGACAUAGGCAAAGGAAAAUAGGAAACGACCAGCCGUUUCCACAUCCAGUCUUUUGCUAUGACAUGCCCAAGAGUAUUCACCCUGAUCUCUCAGCUCCAGUCCCUUUCUCUUCUCUGGGUCACAAUAUUCAAAAAGUCUUGCCCCCAUACCCUACCCUCUCCCUCCCCUUUGCCCAAUCACAGUUCCUCCAUUUGGCAGGAAAGAUGGUGGCAUGAGAUGGACAUCAUUACCCUAGGUACAUGUAUGACUGCACUUAUGGUGCAACGCUACCUCGUGUAUAACCAGGGAAAUGAAAAGUUGUGCUGCAAUUGUGUGCAAUGAAUCAAAAUGCAUUCUGCGAUCAUAUAUACCUAAUUAAAAUAAAGAAAGAAAGCUCUGUGAUGUUCAAGAAGAGAGAGAAGGAGUAGGCGAGGAAACCCCUUAUCCAGGAGAGAGGGUCACAAUUCUACUUCCCAAAUAGCUGAGUACCCAUGGGGCACAUCAACGAAAAACCCUGACUGGUUGCCGUGCCCUGACUCUGUUACACAGCUUAAGAAUCCUCUUAAGAAAAUGGGCCACAGACCUACAUCCGUGUUUGUGGCAAUUAUUCUGCACUGUCUUCCUUUAACAAACCUUCUCCCACUUCUAUCUCUCACCUCUAACCCCGACUCCCCAGGUUAUAGUUUGACCUUUUAGGUGCCAUUUUAACCAGAUCCCUUGGAUCUAGUGUUUGUUUCUGGUCUGAUUGCUGAUUUAUGGCUCCCUCUUGUGGACGUCAGUUUGCAUUUGCCCCUUCAAGGUAUUCACCCCAUUUCUAAGGGAGGAGAUAAUACUUAACGAUGUUAUGAUCUAGUAAUGUAUUGUACUAUGGCUAAAGCAUAUAGGAUAUUAGGAAAGCCUAAGUGUGUCUUGAAGAGUCAGGCUGGAUCACAUAGAAUUGUGAAUGGGAAGGAAAAGUGGGACUUUCCAGGCAGACAAGGGGAAAAGAUAGCGCUAAGCACGGAAUACUUUGGUAAGUAGGUGAACAGAGCUAAGGGAAUGGGGGGGUCCAGGGCAGAGCUCAAGCCAGCUUUUUGGCUUCAGUGACCAUAUUAGAGAACUCUGAAAGUCAGCAAUUGGUAGGUAGUCCCCCAGUGUAAUAUAGUUCUUCAUAGAUCAAAUAAAUCACUACUAUAAAUUACCACACUUAAACAUUUUGAACAUGUCCUUGAAUGCUUGGAAAUAUUACUUAUAUUCAGAUAAUCAAAAUAUUACUUAGGCUAUCAUUAAAUAAUUUUUAUAAACUUUUAUCAAGAUUUUUUGCUUAUUUACAUUCUUAGAAUAAUAAAACUACAAAUAUAUGUAUAUUAUUCUAUAAUAUAGGCUUUUUCAUUUAAUAUGACUUCAUUAAUUCAAACUUACAAGAUCCUACUUGUUCUUUCAAUGUAAGGUGUUCGGUUUCUUUGAGUACACAUCCUCUGUAUCCUGUGAUGGUGAAGAUCAUGGAAUAUUGGCUCUGCUGAGUACAGCUAUCCUGAAGAAUUUGCAACAGUGACCUUGCCCUCUGCUUCUUUGUACUGUGUGGAUUAUUACUAGCUCCUGAAGGCAUAUUAUACCUUGGAACUGAUGGCAUUAAAUGUGUUCAUGCAUAUCUCCAGCUACUGGAUUGUCCCAUCAGCGAGCAAGAUUUUCAUAGGUUCUGAAGUAUUGUCAUUGCUGCAACCAGUAAAGUUCAAAGUCAUAAUAAAAUAGCAAAGUGGGUUAAGUGCAUAUUCUUUGAAAGUACUCUUCAUUUGACAUGAAUUAUUCUAGGCAGAUAAUGUAAUUUUUCUUUUGAUGCAAGAAAACUACCUUGAAGAGUCAGAUAGAUACCUCAAAACUGGAGGAUUUUUAUCCAUCUUAGCUUAUCAAACAGUUUAUUAUCUGUACUUAAUUUGAGAUUGGG